AAGUCGUAACAAGGUCUCCGUUGGUGAACCAGCGGAGGGAUCAUUAUCAGAGUGUAACAACUCCCUAAACCCACUGUGAACCUAUACCACGUUUGUUGCUCCGGCGGAACCGCCCUGGGCGCGCCACCGCGCGUGCCCCAGACUCAGGCGCCCGCCGGGGACCAUCCAGAUUCUCUGUAUUUAUUCUCCAGACUUCUGAGUGUGAUUUAAAGCAAAUCAAAAUUAAAACUUUUAACAACGGAUCUCUUGGCUCUG
This 255-nucleotide unclassified non-coding RNA is filed under the name air metagenome. RNAcentral describes it as "partial contains small subunit ribosomal RNA, internal transcribed spacer 1, and 5.8S ribosomal RNA". The stretch from base 1 to 46 matches the Rfam family "Eukaryotic small subunit ribosomal RNA", at positions 1786 to 1831 of the family's 1831-position model. The record is from RNAcentral.